GGCGCUGUGGCUUAGCUGGUUAAAGCACCUGGCUAGUAACCAGGAGAUCCUGAGCUCAACCCUCUGCAGUGCCC
This is a non-coding RNA of Pelobates cultripes (western spadefoot toad), 74 nucleotides long. The record is from the annotation of a GenBank genome assembly. Lineage: Eukaryota; Metazoa; Chordata; Amphibia; Anura; Pelobatidae.